Long non-coding RNA from Neogobius melanostomus (round goby), 2933 nucleotides. The record is from Ensembl. NCBI's taxonomy places the organism in Eukaryota, Metazoa, Chordata, Actinopteri, Gobiiformes, Gobiidae.
UUAUCGAACCACAAUACUCACCUUCGACCACUGUGACUUUGUUUCCUUUUUGCAGGAAGCACACCCAGCAGCAAGUGCAGUGUGUUCAGUGUGUUACCAGCCGAGGGCAGGCUGGCCCCAGGAGAGAGCCGGGACGUUCAGGUCUGUUUCCAACCCAGAGAAGAGUACGAGUUCUACAGAGAGCGCCUCACUGUGGAGCUGUCCAACCAGAGUGCAGUGUGUGUGAUGGACCUGCGGGGGCGGCGUGCUCUCGCAGCAUGUAUGUGAGUGGAGGGGACUCCCUGCCCUCCGACUCCACCAAGGCUCCUGGGACUGACUGGGGAACAGAAGAGGAGCCCGUCCCAGUGGUGCUGACCCUGAAAGGCCACAGCAGCAGUGGGCAGUGGGCUCCUGUAGUCAGAGAGCUGCAGGUGGGCUGUGUCCGCUCCACACUGCCCAGUAAGAAGACGGCAGAGUUUUUCUGGGAGAACCUCAGCUCAGUGCAGCAGCAGCAGGGCUUUAGCUUGGAACCCAGCAGAGGAACAGUGGAGCCAGGCAGCACUCACACACUCAGCGUCACAUGGACUCCCCCGAGUGGAUACAAGCCUCUGGAGGUGCUGCAGAGCCGUGUGUCUCUGACGCUGAAGGCUGACACAGUCACAGUGUACAGUGUGACCCUCAUGGCCCUGAUGACCUCUGAGCCCUGGCCUGGGCCUCGAACCGGGCCUCAGCUCCUGGUGUCUCGGUUUGUCCCAGUAACAGACAGAGGAGUGUUCUAAAUCUACUCAAACGUAUCUUUGAUAUAACAUGUGAGCUGCAAUAAAGCACAGCACAGUUGUUCAUGAUUCAAAUGUCCACAGCUCCAUGUUGUGAUAUAAGAAAUCAAGUGGUCAAGACUCCAAAAUAUAACUGACACCAUACAGUUUAAUGUACAGUACUUUUGGCAAAUACUAGAGAGAUGUGUGAACUUCAGACCUCUAUAGAAAUGAUCAAAGCAUAUUUCAACCCGCUCCAACACAGAAGCUUUUGGGGGUGCCGGACAGUGACGUCAUCUCGUCUUGUUCCAAGGCAAAUGCAAGUUAAAAAUAGCUGACUAAAGGUUUUCUUUGUGUUUAUUCCAACGAACAUGAAAUCUAACAUGAUUAUUAUUUUCUGUUCAGCACCAGCAAAAUCUGUGUACGUUGCUUCAUCUUGUUUGUGACACUUAUCAUAUGACAUGUUUUUUGUACUUUGCUUGUGAUGCCCGUUCUGCAUAGUGCUUUAUGGUAUCUCUGUGUGUUUUAUCUACAGCUUGUGCUAUGGAGCAACUCUUGUGGGGGGAAAACAGAUGAUCUGCCUGUACUUAUUAUAACUGUAAAUACACACACUGAAACCCUUUAUUUUCUUUGUAUGGGAGGUCUACAUGUGUCUGUCAUUCACCUUUAAAUAAGAAAAGAAAAGGGUUUAUACAUGUUAACUCAAACUAAACAAUAUCCUACUCGUCAGGAGGGACACUGCACAAAUCUGGCCAUUAUGGAAGGAAAGAAAGAAAAAGAAAAAAGAAAAUCAUAAGUUCCGUUUGCUAGAAGCCACAUGGGGGAUACAGCAAACAUGAAAGAAGGUGCUUUGGUUAGAUGAGACCAAAAUGGAACUUUUUGGCCUAAAUGCAAAACGCUAUGUUUGGCGUAAAAGUAACACUGCACAUCACGAUGAAAACACCAUCCCCACUGUUAAACAUGGUGGUGGCAGCAUCAUGCUCUGGGGGUGCUUUUCUGCAGCAGAGACAGGGAAGAUGGUUCGAGUUGAUGGGAAGAUGGAUGGGGCCAAAUACAGAGCAAUCUUAGACAAAAACAUGUUGGAGUCUGCAAAAGACUUGAAACUGGGUCGGAGGUUCACCUUCCAGCAAGACAAUGACCCUAAACAUAAAGCCAGGACCACAGUGGAAUGGUUGAAAACAAAAAAUGUCCAUGUGUUAGAAAGGCCAAGUCAAAGUCCAGACCUAAAUCCAAUCGAGAAUCUGUGGAAAGAUCUGAAAACUGCGGUUCACACCGCUCUCCAUCUAUUCUGACUGAGCUUGAGCUGUUUUGCAAUGAAGAAUGUGCAAGAAAUCCAGCCUCAAGGUGUGCAGGACUGGUAGAGACUUGCAGCAAAAGGCAGUUCCACAAAGUAUUAACUCGGGGGGGUAUAGAUACUUUUGCACAGCCCAGUUUUCAGUUUUUUAUUUAUAAAAAAAGUUCAAAAUCAUGUAUACAUUUCAUUUCACUUUACAAUUGUGUGUCACUUAGUAUGUGUCUUUAACAUUUCAAUGAUAUACAUUUAUGUUUGUGGACCAUAAUGUGGCAAAAUUUGGGAAAAAACAUUGUUUCAUGUUUUAGUGCUGAUGUGCUCAGACGGACACAACAUGAAAUAAAUAGUUCUUUAACUUAUUGAUAAAAAAUACAAAUCUGACUUAAAUACUGUAUCAUUUUCACAGAUUGGAAAAUAAGAUUUAUUUAGGGAAUCACUUACUUGUCACUUGUAAAUUCAUGUUGGUUUGAUCUUAUAAUAUUUAAUGAUUGUUUUGGCAGAUUCUCUCUUUCUGUUUUCUGGGAACAGGAUCAUAAAGAGCUACAGCAGUGAAUCGGUUCUCCCACAGGUUUGGUGUGACCUGUGCAGUAAGUGCAGUGUGUUGAGUGUGGUGCCAGCAGAGGGCAGGCUGGCCCCAGGACAGAGCCGGGACAGCAGAGAAGAGAGAGCGCCUCACUGUGGAGCCGUCCAGUCAGGUCAGGUAGCUUUUCAUUUGUGCUCUGACGCUGAAGAGGAAAAUACAGGGGUUAAAGUGGGCAGGAACGCUCGGGAAUGGCGUUCCCGCACCUUUGCGUGGCAAAAAAACACAUUGAUUAAAUGGUGACAUUUUUAGAACUACAUUACAUUCUUACAUUGAUGCAUUUGUUGCAUUUGAAAUAUUGAAUCUGGAAUAAAUGACAUUAAAAGAC